ACUCAGGGCUUCAUGCACGCCAGGGCAGUCCUGGGUCAAUGGUCUCUUUCCCCUCCUCCUGUUGGAUAGAUGAAGAGGCCUGAGCAGGAAGGUGGUGGUUCCGUGGGGAAUCUUCAGUGACUGGAGUAUGUUGUAAGGAUGGUGAAUCGUCACUUGGCCAGCCAGGGUUUGGCAGUCAAGACAGAGAGCAGUGUCUGGGCCCACAGCAUGAGAGACUGCUGGACUUCAGUCUUCGGAGCAGGCAAGAACGGGGAGCUUCUGUGGAUUUCUAUUCCUGUCGCCUGUCACUGUGAACAGUGCCCAGUACUGCUGGUCAGUAAAUGUUUGCUAAAAUACUGAGCAACCAAGGAAGUGACUUCAGUUGAACUCUGUACCUGUUGUGUUCACUUCCUUUGCAACAUGCGUGACUAAUGGUUACUCCUUCUCUUGAAUGCUUCCAGAAGAGUAGCACUCACCACCUCAUGAGGAAAGGCACUGCAACUUUGGUCAAUGAUAUCUGUUAGAAAGAUCUUUUCCUAUAUUUAGAAGAGUGAUUCUCAUACCUGAGCAUGUAUGAGAAUCAGUGGGUUUGAGGUGGGCCCAAGAAUUUCCCUUUCUAACAAGUUCCCAGAAGAUGCUGAUGUGGCAGCUUCUAGCACAGUGCUUGGAAAUCCAUGAGUUUUCAAGAGGACAAUCUAAAGUGUUCCUUUGUUUUCCUUUACUUCCCCUCAUUCUCAAAUCCUAUGGGGAUGACACAGAGAACCACAAACAAAACAACACACACACACACACACACACACACACAUACACACACAGAGCACCCUUGUCCCUAGCUUUAUCCUCUGGGAUACACAGGACAAGCUCCUCCCUGUUCUAUGUGCAACUUUUAAAAUAUGUGCAACUUUUAAAAUACGUGGAUGUGGCUUUCACAUCUUCUUAGUCCCUCUUUAGCAGAUUUUUUACAAAACAAAUAAGCCAGGAAACCAUGGUCUGAAAGGAUUCCUGCUCUGGUGAGAUCCAAGACCCACAGCGAGGGCGAAGACAGAGGUCUUGCUGCAGCCCCGGCUUCCUCCACAUGGAGGUCCCAGGAAGACGGCAUAAGCCAUUGCCUCGAUAAUAACCUGCUUGCUAACUUCCAGCCAGUGCUUCCACAUUUUCAUGACUUCCAAAGGUUCAGAUGAGGAUGGUAGUUGUGAGUUUGGGAUGAAGUCUUCUGAGCGACUCCUAUGGCCCAGCCACAGGGACCUGGGGCUGGAGAGAGAGGACCAUCCCAGGCUGCAGCAGCCAACACCUGUGUGGAGGUGCAGGCCCGUGGCCCCCAGCUGUGGUGGACACAGCUGUGCUUCCUGAUAGCACCCUUCCCUGCACCUACACCGUGACAUCCUCCUCCUCAGCCUGAGUGCAGGCACCACCUGAAGGGUAUUUGGGGGAGGGCACCAGUGUCCCCAAGGUAGGAGCUAGUGCAUAUGGCCUCGUCCUUCAGAGGGACAAUUCUGAGAGGCAAUCUGCGUGCUUUCAAAGGCCCAGAAACACACCCUGUGUUGCCUCCUCCCUGUCUGACUCUUCCUCUUCCUCCUGCUCCCUGGGACCAGCUCCCAAACAAACUCAAUUUCUUCUCUCAGUCGAAGUUUGCUAAGUGAGUGAAGAGUCAAAUAAAUGAUGUUGCUUAACUCUCCCUCUGAUGUGUGAAUGUCCUCUAGGAACAAGCCUUUUGUAGGAGAACUGUAGGCCAGGGCUGAGUGCACCUGGGAUGCAGGAUCUCCAGGGGGGACCUAUCACUUGUGCGAAUUUAAACCUGCUCAGAGCUUAGGGCCCGGCUCUGCUCAAGAUGGGCAGAAAUAAAGAAGACUAAACAUUUACAUCUCAAGAGUUUAUUUACCCUGGCCUGACUCUUCAAAAAAUGCCAUUGCUGCUACCCUGAGGAUUAACCAUGGCCAUUUUUAGACCAGGUGCCAUCCUGCCUUUAGCCUCGGGUCACCCCUCUGACUCACUGCCAGGAAACGGAGCCUAGACCCUGAUGUGUGGUGAGAAUUGGCCUGGUUUUCACCUGAGAUCCACACUUGAGAAAGCUGAUUGAACUCACAGCGUGCCAUCCUGCCUAAGAUCCUCUUCAGAGAUUCUAUUUCCCAGAGGGAGGGGAUCACUUUCCGCAGUGGGGUUUCUAUCUGGGACAUUUCUCUUCAUCUGUAGGAACCCUAUUUAAAGGCUAGAAAAUCUGAGGGAGAAGUGGAAAGAAGAAAGCUGUGUAGCUGUGACGAUGGCCUGGGACAUGGAUUCCCAAAGCCUGACCCUCCGCUGUGCCCCCUGCUCCCCAGCAGGCAUGGUUAGCCUGUCAUGGAACCCUGCACCUGAGCCUGGGCGAGCUCCAGAUUCCUCAGCACACAGAGCUCCAAGCUCCUCCUGCCAGGCCGCCAGGGCUGGCUCCCGAGAGAAUGCACAAGCCUUUUGUGGUGUCUGAGAAAACACAGCUGAAUCUACUAGGCAAGGGGUUGUAUAGGGCACCUCGGGAAGAAGUCGCACAGGUGCCCCCAGAGAUCUCAGGGGCAGGGAGGGGCUCACCCAUAAGGGAAGGGGAGGACUCAGAAGGCUUUGAGGAAGAGGCAGCUCCUAAAAUGGGUGAGGGCAGAGUGUGCCCUGAGGCCCCACAGCAGGCAAGCAGGUGACUGGAGAAGCAGCUAGGUCUGGUGCCUGUGUGCCAGGCUUGUAUGCCAGGGCUGGGCUGCAUGGGAUGCACAAU
RNAcentral lists this long non-coding RNA (2716 nucleotides) under Homo sapiens (human). RNAcentral's name for it is "non-protein coding lnc-SSTR4-13:2". Lineage: Eukaryota; Metazoa; Chordata; Mammalia; Primates; Hominidae. The record is from RNAcentral.